This 66-nucleotide transfer RNA is filed under the name Paenibacillus aquistagni. It matches the Rfam family "tRNA". From Rfam's summary of the family: Transfer RNA (tRNA) molecules are approximately 80 nucleotides in length. Their secondary structure includes four short double-helical elements and three loops (D, anti-codon, and T loops). Lineage: Bacteria; Bacillati; Bacillota; Bacilli; Caryophanales; Paenibacillaceae. The record is from Rfam by way of RNAcentral.
UAGCUCAGCUGGGAGAGCAUCUGCCUUACAAGCAGAGGGUCGGCGGUUCGAUCCCGUCAGCGUCCA